GAGGUUUGAUCCUGGCUCAGGAUGAACGCUGGCGGCGUGCUUAACACAUGCAAGUCGAACGAAGCACUUUAUUUGAUUUCCUUCGGGACUGAUUAUUUUGUGACUGAGUGGCGGACGGGUGAGUAACGCGUGGGUAACCUGCCUUGUACAGGGAGAUAACAGUUGGAAACGGCUGCUAAUACCGCAUAAGCGCACAGCAUCGCAUGAUGCAGUGUGAAAAACUCCGGUGGUAUAAGAUGGACCCGCGUUGGAUUAGCUAGUUGGUGAGGUAACGGCCCACCAAGGCGACGAUCCAUAGCCGACCUGAGAGGGUGACCGGCCACAUUGGGACUGAGACACGGCCCAAACUCCUACGGGAGGCAGCAGUGGGGGAUAUUGCACAAUGGGGGAAACCCUGAUGCAGCGACGCCGCGUGGAGGAAGAAGGUCUUCGGAUUGUAAACUCCUGUUGUUGGGGAAGAUAAUGACGGUACCCAACAAGGAAGUGACGGCUAACUACGUGCCAGCCGCCGCGGUAAUAC
This 520-nucleotide ribosomal RNA is filed under the name uncultured bacterium. RNAcentral describes it as "bacterial SSU rRNA". It matches the Rfam family "Bacterial small subunit ribosomal RNA", at positions 9 to 526 of the family's 1533-position model. The record is from RNAcentral.